UGAGGAACAUGACCUUCGGCGGGGGAUAGCCGGCCCAACGGCCGGGUAAUACCGCGUACGACCACAUGGGGACAUCCCUGAGUGGUGAAAGCAGCAAUGCGCCGAUGGAGGGCCUCGCGGCCUAUCAGCUAGUUGGUGAGGUAACGGCUCACCAAGGCGACGACGGGUAGCUGGUCUGAGAGGAUGGCCAGCCACAGUUGGGACUGAGACACGGCCCAGACUCCGUAGGGACGG
RNAcentral lists this ribosomal RNA (234 nucleotides) under uncultured bacterium. RNAcentral describes it as "partial 16S ribosomal RNA". It matches the Rfam family "Bacterial small subunit ribosomal RNA", at positions 118 to 348 of the family's 1533-position model. The record is from RNAcentral.